RNAcentral lists this transfer RNA (69 nucleotides) under Ovis aries (sheep). It matches the Rfam family "tRNA". From Rfam's summary of the family: Transfer RNA (tRNA) molecules are approximately 80 nucleotides in length. The record is from Rfam by way of RNAcentral. Lineage: Eukaryota; Metazoa; Chordata; Mammalia; Artiodactyla; Bovidae.
CCUGGUGGCUCAGAGGGUAAAGCGCCUGCCUGAAACGCAGUAAACCUGGGUUCGAUCCCUGGGUCAGGA